CAGUCGCCGCGGGAAUACGUAGGUCCCGAGCGUUGUCCGGAUUUAUUGGGCGUAAAGCGAGCGCAGGCGAUUUGAUAAGUCUGAAGUUAAAGGCUGUGGCUCAACCAUAGUUCGCUUUGGAAACUGUCAAACUUGAGUGCAGAAGGGGAGAGUGGAAUUCCAUGUGUAGCGGUGAAAUGCGUAGAUAUAUGGAGGAACACCGGUGGCGAAAGCGGCUCUCUGGUCUGUAACUGACGCUGAGGCUCGAAAGCGUGGGGAGCGAACAGGAUUAGAGACCCCUGUAGUCCCUGUCUCUUAUACA
This 301-nucleotide ribosomal RNA is filed under the name uncultured bacterium. Its description in RNAcentral is "partial 16S ribosomal RNA". It matches the Rfam family "Bacterial small subunit ribosomal RNA", at positions 509 to 808 of the family's 1533-position model. The record is from RNAcentral.